CCCUUAGAUGUUCUGGGCCGCACGCGCGCUACACUGAUGCAUUCAACGAGUUUUUCCUGGUCCGAGAGGAAUGGGUAACCUUUUGAAAGUGCAUCGUGCUAGGGAUAGACUUUUGCAAUUUUUGGUCUUCAACGAGGAAUUCCUAGUAAACGCAAGUCAUCAACUUGCAUUGAUUACGUCCCUGCCCUUUGUACACACCGCCCGUCGCACCUACCGAUUGAAUGGUCCGGUGAAGCCUCCGGAUUGGCGCGCACCUCGGUGCCGCCGAGAAGUUGGCUAAACCUUACCAUUUAGAGGAAGGUGAAGUCGUAACA
This 314-nucleotide ribosomal RNA is filed under the name uncultured eukaryote. RNAcentral's name for it is "partial 18S ribosomal RNA". It matches the Rfam family "Eukaryotic small subunit ribosomal RNA", at positions 1470 to 1796 of the family's 1831-position model. The record is from RNAcentral.